Oncorhynchus mykiss (rainbow trout) is the source of this 1068-nucleotide non-coding RNA. The record is from RefSeq and is a predicted model, not a curated record. NCBI's taxonomy places the organism in Eukaryota, Metazoa, Chordata, Actinopteri, Salmoniformes, Salmonidae.
ACAUGUCUAGGAUCAGGUGGUGAUGUAAUCUACACCAUCAACAUGUCUAGGAUCAGGUGAUGUAAUCUAAACCAUCAACAUGUCUAGGAUCAGGUGGUGAUGUAAUCUAAACCAUCAACAUGUAUAGGAUCAGGUGUUGUAAUCUACACCAUCAACAUGUCUAGGAUCAGGUGAUGUUGUAAUCUAAACCAUCAACAUGUCUAGGAUCAGAUGGUGUUGUAAUCUACACCAACAUUUCUAGGAUCAGGUGGUGUUGUAAUCUACACCAUCAACAUGUCUAGGAUCAGGUGUUGUAAUCUACACCAUCAACAUGUCUAGGAUCAGGUGGUGUUGCCAUCAACACGUCUAGGAUCAGGUGAUGUAAUCUAAACCAUCAACAUGUCUAGGAUCAGGUGGUGUUGUAAUCUACGCCAUCAACAUGUCUAGGAUCAGGUGGUGUUGUAAUCUACGCCAUCAACAUGUCUAGGAUCAGGUGGUGUUGCCAUCAACACGUCUAGGAUCAGGUGAUGUAAUCUAAACCAUCAACAUGUCUAGGAUCAGGUGUUGUAAUCUAAACCAUCAACAUGUCUAGGAUCAGGUGAUGUAAUCUACACCAUCAACAUGUCUAGGAUCAGGUGAUGUUGUAAUCUACACCGUCAACAUGUCUAGGAUCAGGUGGUGUUGUAAUCUACACCAUCAACAUGUCUAGGAUCAGGUGAUGUAAUCUAAACCAUCAACAUGUCUAGGAUCAGGUGAUGUAAUCUAAACCAUCAACAUGUCUAGGAUCAGGUGAUGUAAUCUACACCAUCAACAUGUCUAGGAUCAGGUGGUGUUGUAAUCUAAACCAUCAACAUGUCUAGGAUCAGGUGAUGUUGUAAUCUAAACCAUCAACAUGUGUAGGAUCAGGUGAUGUAAAGAACGUCAGAUAAAUGAACUAUACACUUCUUAUUACUCUUCAUCAUCAGCAUCAUCAUGGCAAUAUACAAAGUCUGAGAAAACAUGGCCACAGAAAUACACAACAAUGUCCUCAAUCACAAUGUCACAUUUCUUUGAAGAUUAAAAUGUAACUAAGUCUUCUGGCAAAAAAAA